RNAcentral lists this ribosomal RNA (406 nucleotides) under uncultured bacterium. RNAcentral describes it as "partial 16S ribosomal RNA". It matches the Rfam family "Bacterial small subunit ribosomal RNA", at positions 30 to 526 of the family's 1533-position model. The record is from RNAcentral.
AUUGAACGCUGGCGGCAGGCCUAACACAUGCAAGUCGAACGAGUGGCGGACGGGUGAGUAAUGUCUGGGAAACUGCCUGAUGGAGGGGGUUAACUACUGGAAACGGUAGUUAAUACCGCAUACCAUCGGAUGUGCCCAGAUGGGCUUAGCGUGUUGGUGGGGUAACGGCUCACCAAGGCGACGAUCCCUAGCUGGUCUGAGAGGAUGACCAGCCACACUGGAAAUGAGGCACGGUCCAGACUCCUACGGGAGGCAGCAGUGGGGGAUAUUGCACAAUGGGCGAAAGCCGGAUGCAGCCAUGCCGCGUGUAUGAAGAAGGCCUUAGGGUUGUAAAGUACUUUCAGCGGGGAGGCGUUACCCACAGAAGAAGCACCGGCUAACUCCGUGCCAGCAGCCGCGGUAAUAC